CCCCCUCCAUCCUGGUCUCGGUGAAGGAUCAGCAGCUGAUGGUGAAGGUGCAGUUUCCCUGUGCUGCCAACAGGAGGUGCUCUCUGGAGAGGUGCUGUCCCAUCUCUGAACUGAUUGACCCCUGGACAACAGUGACUGUGUACAACAAUAUCAAUCGCUCAGAAUACCAGGUCAGAAAAUCUGUGAGCCGUUGUUGUUUGGCUCAGACUAUCAAAGUCCUGCCGGUGCAAGUACAUGAAAAAGUUUGAAUCCUCUUUGAAAUUAAGUUUGAUUAUGGAGACCUCUUCAACACAAAAACUGUUAAGCUGAUUAAAUGUUGCUGCAGCGUUUUGUGUUGUUGCAGAGCCGGACGGUUUGGACCCAGGAGGUCGUCUCCUUUGUGGCGUUUCCUGGUUUGUCUCCUGGUCAGAACUACUGUGCUGUGGCCAACUUCUCCUUUCCGACCUUCUCCAUGGCUGCAUCCCCAAAGUCCGCCCCUCAGUGUGUUGAGAUCGUCUCAAAAUCAGGGCUGGUGCCUGCACUGGGUCUGGGAGUCCUGCUGACGUCCCUGCUCCUCGUCCCGCUCCUCGUAGUGUUUGUGAAAAGAACAAGACCAGCUGCACCGACCACAGAGUGUCAACCCAAAACUCUGGCGUCUCUUCAGGACUCAGUCUCUCUGGUCCCCCUGUCCCUGGUCCCAGUUGACCCUUGCGACAUUCACUUGGAAGUCCCCAUCGACCACAUUUCCACUGAGUCAUCCUCCAGUCAGGACUCCGACCAGGAGAAGAUUUCAGCCCUGGGAAAGUCCCACACCUGUGAUCCUUUCCAACACCAUCCCAGGACUGAUGCAGUUUACUGGGACAGCAGAGGGAUGGAGCUGGACCUGGACCAAGGCCUGGACUCUGGCAUCAGCAUCCCUCAUGUGUCUCAUUCUUUUGAGACAACAAACGGAGACUGA
This 937-nucleotide long non-coding RNA is filed under the name Echeneis naucrates (live sharksucker). RNAcentral's name for it is "lncRNA (ENSENLG00000010932.1)". The record is from RNAcentral. Lineage: Eukaryota; Metazoa; Chordata; Actinopteri; Carangiformes; Echeneidae.